This 2074-nucleotide long non-coding RNA is filed under the name Gallus gallus (chicken). RNAcentral describes it as "lncRNA (ENSGALG00010026558.1)". The record is from RNAcentral. Lineage: Eukaryota; Metazoa; Chordata; Aves; Galliformes; Phasianidae.
AGCUCCAGUCCCAUGGACAGCUGGCAGAACACUGUGCCAAAUUCAUUCAUGCUGUCAAUUAAUGUUUCUAAACACUUCUUUUUCAGCACCCUGACUUCAAUCGUGUUUUGUACCAAUACUUUCCACACUACUAGACCUUCAAAGGAUAAGAUACCCAGUGUCUUAAAUGGUUACAUACAUAAUUGCUUGCCGGCAGUAGAGCCACUGCCCUAUCAAAAUUAUUAUCAGCAAGUAAAACCAAGAUCUCCAGGUGUUCUGCUUGCGAGGGAGCAUAUUUUAACAUGGGAUGCCAGACAGAUUAGCCAAGGAAUGCAUGUUCAGCAUUACUGCUAGGCAUAUACAAACAGAAAGAAGAAAAUAAGGACAUAUCCUUCAUCUAGAAGAUCCCAAAAACGUAUUGAGCACUUUCAGCCUUUACUUCUCAGGACCAAACCUGGGGAUAGAAACACUGUUUAGUUCUACAAGCUGCAGAAUGAGAGAGAUCUCUCUUCCUCGUUGUAACACUGGGAGCACAAACAGCUGAUAAGAUUAAAACUGAAAGGACUCUGGGCUGGCAGCAGCCAAACACACAGAAGGAUAUUCCAUGAGAUGCAGCAGACACAGCUCCUUCUGUCUAACAUGUAAAUGCAUCACGUCACACCCUGGCCACCAGAGACCCAGGCUCUGUUCCAUCUCUCAUCUCAUAAAUUCUAAUGCUGAAAUUUCUCUACCCAACUGGCAUUGCACUGCCCACAAGUACUUCAGCCCAGAAGCCAAGAGUGAAGAAAUGAGUGAAGCCCACUGCCCCAGAAAGCAGUCUAAAAGCUGGUCACAUGGCAAGGACAAGAUGCACGUCAAGGGAACUGCACAACCCUGUUGCUACUGCAAGAAUUGUUCACUCUCAUGCAAUAAGCAGAAGACAAAACAUGCUGGUAUCUUUUCCCUUCUAACAUCAGAGCAUUAAAUAUAAAAGGUCUUCCACAAAUACACCAUGAAUCAUGCACAGACCAUAGGAUGUAUGGAACAGAAGUGACACACAAUUAGAAAAAAAGGAUAUGAAAAAUGUAGUAGGUGAGGAGUGUUCAGGAGGUGCAGUAUUCAGAAACUGAACUCUUUUGCAAACACACACCUCACAGAAUUCACACUCCUAUCUUCUAGUCUCUUGCAUUUACUUUUUCAUCAAACUGACACAUUUUAAAAGGGCACCUGCACUGAGAUACUGCUUCUUAGGGCCAGAGCCACAUAGGGUCUACAAAUACAGCUGAAUCUGGAUAAAAAUGAGGAAAAACAACACAAGGUUGGUGGGAAUCAGUGAAAAGUGGCAUACCUUGCAUUUGCCACGCCCAGGACACAGGCUGGCUGUUCCUUUUACCAUUAGGCCCAAGCUAGAGAAACAAUAGAUUCUACAAGUAUCAAGAUUGCUUCCAUAGCAGCUCAAAGUCAGGCACCCUCUCUUUUGUAACACCCUCCUCUUUAAGAAAGACUUACAGAUUGCAAAACAACAGGACUAUGCCCUGCAAAUGUUUGCUAAAUAUUUGUGAAGUUUCAUCCAAACACAUGAAUCAAGGCACCACAAACCAGCAACUCCAGGCUCAGCGCAUUAGCCUGGAAAUGAUUUGUUGGCAGUCUGUAGGCAAACAGCAAGAUUUCAAUGCCUGUUUACAUUUUAAGUGCACAUAAGAAAAACAAAUCGAUAGAACUAUGGGUCAAUAUUCACGUAACAUUCCUGAAAAUAUCCAGUGUGCUACACUAGAGGCAUAUUUAGUAACCAUUUUGCCCUUCUGUGGUUCCACUUUCACUUCUCAGCUUUGUUUUAGCUCUUCAGUUAGCAAGCUUUCUGCUGAGGAGAGCCACUGCAUGUCUGCACAGUGCUGUGCUACUGCCAGAGAUGUUGGUACCUGCUUGGAGUACAUUAAGAAUCUCUGUCAUCGUGUAAGGAAACAGAGUAAAAGACCACUCACUGCUUUUCAGCCACACAGGCAGCACCUCUCACUACUCAGUCUCAUCUUCCUUUGAAAACACUGCCAUAUUUUAGACCUUCAGAACUGAGUCAUCAUGCAGCAUAUCAUGUUUCAAUUAAAAAUUAGGGAGAUUU